Molecule: ribosomal RNA, 253 nt
Filed under: uncultured bacterium
Lineage: Bacteria
Description: partial 16S ribosomal RNA
Rfam family: Bacterial small subunit ribosomal RNA
Source: RNAcentral
UACGGGGGGGGCAAGCGUUGUUCGGAAUUACUGGGCGUAAAGGGCGCGUAGGCGGCCUUCUAAGUCAGACGUGAAAUCCCUCGGCUCAACCGAGGAACUGCGUCUGAUACUGGAAGGCUUGAAUCCGGGAGAGGGAUGUGGAAUUCCAGGUGUAGCGGUGAAAUGCGUAGAUAUCUGGAGGAACACCAGUAGCGAAGGCGGCACUCUGGGCCUGUACUGACGCUGAUGCGCGAAAGCGUGGGGAGCGAACAGG